GCUGAUGUGGCUCAGUGGUAGAGCAGCGCACUCGUAAUGCGCAGGUCGAGGGUUCGAAUCCCUCCAUCAGCU
Molecule: transfer RNA, 72 nt
Filed under: Neomoorella thermoacetica
Lineage: Bacteria; Bacillati; Bacillota; Clostridia; Neomoorellales; Neomoorellaceae
Also listed under: 1 other name
Description: Moorella thermoacetica tRNA
Rfam family: tRNA
About the family: Transfer RNA (tRNA) molecules are approximately 80 nucleotides in length. Their secondary structure includes four short double-helical elements and three loops (D, anti-codon, and T loops).
Source: Rfam by way of RNAcentral